Molecule: ribosomal RNA, 254 nt
Filed under: uncultured bacterium
Lineage: Bacteria
Description: partial 16S ribosomal RNA
Rfam family: Bacterial small subunit ribosomal RNA
Source: RNAcentral
UACGGAGGGUGCGAGCGUUGUCCGGAAUCACUGGGCGUAAAGGGCGCGUAGGUGGCGACGCAAGCGUGCGGGUGAAAGCUCGGGGCUCAACCCCGAGUCGGCCGUGCGAACUGCGUUGCUCGAGCACUGUAGAGGCAGAUGGAAUUCCGGGUGUAGCGGUGGAAUGCGUAGAGAUCGGGAAGAACACCAGUGGCGAAGGCGGUCUGCUGGGCCGUUGCUGACGCUGAGGCGCGACAGCGUGGGGAGCAAACAGG